Molecule: long non-coding RNA, 1094 nt
Organism: Anopheles gambiae (African malaria mosquito)
Lineage: Eukaryota; Metazoa; Arthropoda; Insecta; Diptera; Culicidae
Exons: 2
Source: RefSeq, a predicted model, not a curated record
AAAACAAGCACGAAAUUUGCAUCACAAAUCACAACCGGCGAAAGAACAAAGUCAAAAAAAGUUUGGUAACUGAGUAACUUCAUUUACAAUUUCGAUUGGCAGCGAUUGGCACAGGGCAGGCUAGAAUGGGAAGGGAACAUUUGCGGAUUUGCGUACGUGCGCCUGUGCGUCUCCACACGCCGGGGUUCGCCGUCUACUUUCUCUUUUCGCUUCCAUGCGGGGUGGCGGCCUUGUUGUCGUACUGCGCACGGUGGCAAGCGGGUUUAUAAUUGCUUUUAUCAAAUUGAUGAUCUUUUUUUUGUAAUAUCGAGCUAAACAUUAUCCCCCAUCUGUGCGAGAAAAUGAGACCCAAAAGCGAGACAGGGAAAAUCGUUUUUAAUUUAAUUAUAAUCUUUCAUUUUUAAUCGCAUAUCUUUCCCUUUCCCGCGCCCAAUUGGUGCAGGCCUCAUUUCAGGGCCAUAAAAAAAUGCCUCACUAUCUCGAAAGCCACCGUUUUUGGAAUGUCAGCCCGCUUCUUCAGUGCUGUUGCUUCUUGUCCACUCUUGUCGCUCUGUCGCUGCUCUCUUAUUUGCUCUCACUUAAUAAUCCCUUUUUUUUCAAAGGUGUCUGCUUUCACUCCCUUCGCAAACGAAAAGAUGUUCAUACCUACGUUGUGUAUGUGUGUGUGUGUAUGUCUAUAGUUGCCUUCACACCUUGCCGCACCCCUCAAAAAGACACAUGCACCCACGUCGGGGUUUGUCGCGUUUGGGGGAAAGGCUGUCCCGCUCUGGCCGGGACCGAACAGGGCGGCCAUUUACGGACAUCCGGACGGUGUAUCGCUGGCUGGCUGGCUUGGCCGCUGCCCGGACGUAGACUCUCGGACCGGGACCCCAUCUCAGUGUCCGCCGGGACUGUGACGUGAUCGGUGUUGCGUUCGUCUUGCUGUUUUUAGUGUUGUCUUUGUGUGUGUAGAUAAAUGUUUGUGUGCGUGUGUGGUGAUUAAUUUUGUAAAGUGUUACGGUUUUCGUAUUGCUAGUGACGAUUACGCUUCCCCCGAGACGUGCGGAACACGCGGAAAUUACUGACAGAGAGAGAGAGAGAGAGAGAGAGAGAGA